Molecule: non-coding RNA, 22 nt
Filed under: Arabidopsis thaliana (thale cress)
Lineage: Eukaryota; Viridiplantae; Streptophyta; Magnoliopsida; Brassicales; Brassicaceae
Source: RNAcentral
UAUAGGCCUUUUUAAUCUUAAA